AAUAAAGUAUAAAGAAAGUGAGCAAAGAACACUGAAGCGGUUCAUGAAUUAAGUCUAAAGUGAUGUAUGCACUUUCACAUUUUUAUUUAUGCCUAAUGAAGAUGCAGAAUUCAGAACGUGCUCACUAAACAAUUCAGCGGUUACUAAUCAAAAUGACUCUGAUUGGACAUUGUGGUCAUCAGCUCUGCACAAACAUGUGUAAUCCUCAGCGCUGCAAACCGCUGAGAUCAGUCUCCCAACCUGUAGUCAGUUCUGCACAGUUAAAGUAUUUAACUCAUGUUUUAUAAAAUGUAUUUGCAUGCAUUAUGUUUUUGUCAUGUACUAUUUUGAGUCAUGAUGUUUUAGACCUUAAUAACAGUCAAUGUGAUUAGUUACAGAACAUUUCUGGUGGGCAAAUAUACAGUGUCAAGUCACCAUUAAGGAACUGUCAGAAACAGCAGGCUAACAGCAACGGCCACCGAUCAAGAGAUAGAAUUCUUUAUAAAAAAAAUGGCUUCACCUUGCAUGUGACCGAGAUGGAGGGAGAAGAGAAAGAUAGAAACGAAAGAGUGUCCAAGAAACCUGCCUGCAAGAUUGCCAUGAUGCUGAUGGGCCCAGUCAAGGAGGUCAAUAAAUCCUAUAAGUUUGGAUUGUUCCUGUUGCCAAGGUUCUGCAGUGUUCACUACUACAACGUCGGACAAGUUUGUUUUUGGAUGAGCUAACCUAUACAUAGCUACUGGAUGUACUUGAUGUUUUUUUUUUCCAUGUUUAGAUUGCUUCUCAGUUUUGGAAAUGUAAUCAUUCAAUGGGUUUUUCAUUGGCAAUAUUAAUAAAUAAUGCA
This is a long non-coding RNA of Carassius auratus (goldfish), 820 nucleotides long. RefSeq lists it as uncharacterized. The record is from RefSeq and is a predicted model, not a curated record. The transcript is spliced from 3 exons. Lineage: Eukaryota; Metazoa; Chordata; Actinopteri; Cypriniformes; Cyprinidae.